This is a long non-coding RNA of Pipra filicauda (Wire-tailed manakin), 3593 nucleotides long. RefSeq lists it as uncharacterized. The transcript is spliced from 2 exons. Lineage: Eukaryota; Metazoa; Chordata; Aves; Passeriformes; Pipridae. The record is from RefSeq and is a predicted model, not a curated record.
GCGCCGAGCCAAGCCGAGCCGUGCCGUGCCGUGCCGGGCGGGCCGCCGGGCUGCGGGGUGAGCCGGAGGAUGGAGCAGAUGCCGCGGCUCAGAGCUGGACAGGCGGAAUGGAGAAAUGCCAGUCCUCUCCUAGAGAGCAGGGGGAAUGGGAGAUUGGGCAGCUGAUAGCAUUUGAAGAUCUCAGCACCUCACUGCCUACAUACCAUCACUGCACUUGAAGAUGAACAUCCUCCUUUGUGUCACACACGGCACUGCAAAAACAACCACUUAGUCAAGCAGCAGACUGAGACACGUCCCCUAUCCAUCAUCUCCACGGCUUCAACUCGCAGAGACAGGGAAAAAGAACAGAGUGGAAAAGGACAAUAUAGUCUGAAAAGUUACGACGUGAAAGUGUCAUCACCUCAUCCAGCAAGCCUGCUCCUUGCAUUGUUUUCAGUGAGAGGCAGGAAGCACAAUACUUUUCUCCGGUGCUAGUUCAGCAGAGCCCCUCUGGGGGGUCCCCUGGAUCCUAUUCCUUGCCUGCAGGAGAGCUCGCCCCCAAGAUGAGGUGACAUGGUCUGGCAUCCUCUAUGGCUCAGUAUGCCAAAACUAGUCCCCUGUCAUAUCCCAAGAAGAUAUUAAAGGAUAGCCCUCAGCAAACUGAGUAGUGCUCAGCUGAAUCACAGAGAAACCACAGAUCUGAAGCCUUCACCUGUAAUGCUCACAGAAAUGCUUUUCUGAAUGAACCUUGUUUCUAAAAACCAAAUUAACACAUUGGCAAAACAGUGAUGCAGAAAAGAGUGAUUCAGGCACAAAGGUGGAUGUGCAGCUUUUUCUGGUCUUUUUUUUGGUAUUUGUGAUGACAGAAGCCAUAACUUCAAGUAAACAUCUAAACAUGCAUUGUAUAAUGCAAUAGAAAAACUGAUGCUCAUUAUCUCUUGUGCAAACCUAUGGCAAUGCAGGCUAACAAGUGCGCAGGGUGCCUAAUUAAAAAUAUCAAUAGUGUUAAGUCCUAAUAUCAGCUGUUAGUACAGGAGAACAGUAGUAAUGUCUAGGCACUUUAAAGUUGACAGAGAAUUCAAGAGUGCUUUCUCAUGCUGCUUGAAAAAUAUAUCAUCCAGUCUACAGUGGUAUCAAAUGCUUAUUUCUAGGACUUAGAAACACGAUAAUAAAAGGGAGAGGAUGUGAUCUGCAUGCAGGUUAGCCUUUCUGUGAGCUAUCUGCGUGUGAAGAAUAUUUGCAAACUUCAUUAAUAUAAAUAAGGGGAGGGAGAGAAGAGAGAGUUUAACCCAGAAGAAAACAGCAUCAGAAUCAGCCUGUGAUGAUUAAGCCUAUGACAAAAUCAGCAAGACAACGACCAAGGAAAGGAUUUUGUAGGUAUUCCCACUGCUUUUCGCCAGGGUUAAUUAUUUGGAUGAAGAAAAUGCAGGACAACCUGGAAAGACAAGAACUAAAUGUGCUUCCCAGGCCUUGCCACCUUUGAUACCCAUGACUGCUGACACCAAGCAGCCAGGUUAAAGCACACAUGCCCCAUCAGAGCACAGCGCUUGCCACGGGAUAGCUGUUUUCUGCUGGCUGAGAACAAGGUAAGACAGCCCUUUGUCCCAGGAUCUGCAACUUGCCCUGGCAACCACUAGGACUCCAGCAGCGUGUGCCACCUGCAGACCUGCGUCCCCUGCGAUUCCUUCAUUUCCUGCCAGUGGCUUUGCUCCUCCUCUCCGCUGCUGUUCUGACCCAUGGAAAUCCAGCCGAUCAUCUCCUUGCGCUUCAUGCUGCGCCUGUUGUAUAUGGAGAUCAUCAGGGUGACAUCAGAGAGCUGGAAGAGGGCAACCUGGAAGAUGAAGGUUUCCUUGUAGACAGGGUUGGGCUGUCCUCGGCGGAUGGAGGUCUUGCAGCGAGACAUCUCCUGACCCACAGAGUUGCGCAGGCAGAGCUUUCCAUAGGUAUCUAGGACAGGAUAAAAGAGGAGACAAUACCUCUGGCACAGGUAACAGACUAAAUGGAAGCCCCAAGUGGUCAAAAAACACCCCAAGCCCCUCCAAGUAGAGCAGCUUUGUCUGUAGUGAAUAACAGAUAACGGCUGGACAUCUCUCCUUGGUAAAAUCCAUGGGAUGAGAAGCAGCAGAUGAAAGCACCUCUUGGAUUUUCUCAUAUUGAGCUGUGGAGAAAAAGAAAACUGAUGUGUUUCAGCCCUACUCUCUUGGAAAGAGCAGGGUACCUGGUAUCCAGUCCUAACAAACCUGUCUACGAUUAACUGAAACUAUGAGCAUCUCUAUGGAUUCUCCACAUCAAAUGGUGUGUUUCCAUCUUCCCUUCCUCUCCCUCACAAUCAAGCUUCAUUUGGGCUCUCUUACCCAGGUUUCCUUUGACUGCCCUUGUCUCUCCACCACUCUCUUUUGGAAGAAUGCCUCUGUGACCUAUUGUUUGAGAUACCAAGCAAAAGGAUCUUGAAAGACAGGGAAAAGAAACCUGCAUACACAGUGGAAUGAUUUAUCUCCCAUGAUAAUUUCAAGUUUUUUCCAAAUUCUCAUAUUACUUUUUUGGUGGACUCAGGGUCAAUUUUAUUCACUAUCUAAAUCAAUGUAAGGAGUAAACAUGCCUAGGAAGGAAUGGUCCAAUUCAGUGUUCCUGUAAAUCUGUUCUUUAAACUCUUGCUGCCUCCUGUAUUAAUUAGUUCACCUCUGUUAUGUGCUUGUUAAUACUGCGGUCUCUGAGCUCCCAAUGCUCCACAGAUCCAGCUCAGUGUAAGUUUUCACCUUGCUCUGCACGUGACAGUGACAGAUUGCUUGGCUAGACAAGUCCUCUGCUAACCCCUUCAUAAUCUGUGCCUGGGUUCCUGCAAGUGAGUAUUAUUUCAGAGUGUGCUGAAGAUAGGAAAUAAAUAACAAGCCUCCGUCUCUUGUCUACAGCAUUUCUAUCCUCUUCUGUUCCCGUUUGAUGUGCUAUUUUACGCACUUAUCUACUGAGCAACACAAGGUGUGAAAUUACACUUCAGGUGUGAAAACACUUCUAUGUCUCCAAAGCAGGGCUUUCCACUCCUCUCAAACUGUUCCACUGAAAAAGCUGUCAGGAGACUGACAAUCAAGGAGCAAAUUGUGAGCCUGCACAGCUGUACAGCUAUCGAGUUACUGCGGGGAAAGUUCAGCCCAGUCAUUAGCUGGGGGGGCCAGCUUGGCUCCCAGCGUAACACUGGCGAUGAAUUAGAUCUUGCCAACAAAGACCUACUUGUUGCACAGAAAAGCAGAGCUUUGAUUUAAUUUCCUGAUGGUAUCUGGAAAGAAAAAAAAAAAAAAGGCAAAAAAAAAGCUUUAUUAAGAGGUGGACUAAUUUCCACCUUACUAUUCAGUGUUGGUGGUGCUGAGGGACUGAAAUCUGUAACAACUUCAGAUCCAUCAGAAGCACAAAGCCCAAGAGAGGACUCCCUCUUCUACCUCAACUCAAUGUGGAACUCUGCAAGACAACUACCAGACACAACUCUUGCAGUGUUUGUAGAGAUGUCACUUUGUUUUGGACUGACAAACCACAACAUGCACUGAAGCAUUCCUCAUGUGUGAGUCCUGGCUGCUGGUCUAGGCUGCAAGGAACUCCCUGGAAAUAAAGAUAAGUGAGGAGAA